GCCUGGGUGAUGGAAUGGCAGACAUAACGGACUUAAAAUCCGUUGACCGCAAGGUCGUAUGGGUUCGACUCCCAUCCCAGGCA
Molecule: transfer RNA, 83 nt
Filed under: Verrucomicrobiota bacterium
Lineage: Bacteria; Pseudomonadati; Verrucomicrobiota
Also listed under: 1 other name
Description: Verrucomicrobia bacterium (groundwater metagenome) tRNA-Leu
Rfam family: tRNA
About the family: Transfer RNA (tRNA) molecules are approximately 80 nucleotides in length. Their secondary structure includes four short double-helical elements and three loops (D, anti-codon, and T loops). Further hydrogen bonds mediate the characteristic L-shaped molecular structure. tRNAs have two regions of fundamental functional importance: the anti-codon, which is responsible for specific mRNA codon recognition, and the 3' end, to which the tRNAs corresponding amino acid is attached (by aminoacyl-tRNA synthetases). tRNAs cope with the degeneracy of the genetic code in two manners: having more than one tRNA (with a specific anti-codon) for a particular amino acid; and 'wobble' base-pairing, i.e. permitting non-standard base-pairing at the 3rd anti-codon position.
Source: RNAcentral